CCUGCUCAAUGACUUAAAUAGCCGCUCCAAGUGCUAAGGUAGCAUAAUAAAUUGCUUUCUAAUUAAAAGAUAGAAUGAAAGGAAACCCGAUUUAUCAACUGUAUCUAACCAAAACCCUAAAAUUAUAAACUUAGUAAAAAUCCUAUUUCAUAUAUAAGAAGGACGACAAGACCCUAUCGAACUUUUCUUAUUAAAUUUUACUGGGAAGGUAAAAAACUAAAUCUUUUUCUUACCCCCAAUAAACGCUACCACUCGAAUGAAAUAAGUUACCGUAGGGAUAACAGCAUAAUAAUUUAAAAAAGUUCUUAUAAAAUAAAUUGAUUAUGACCUCGAUGUUGAAUUAACUAACCUAAUUUCAGAAAAAAGUAAAAAAGGAAGUCUGUUCGACUUUUAAAAUGUUACAU
This 404-nucleotide ribosomal RNA is filed under the name Speocera sp. 619 FL-2019. Its description in RNAcentral is "partial large subunit ribosomal RNA". It matches the Rfam family "Archaeal large subunit ribosomal RNA", at positions 1950 to 2670 of the family's 2987-position model. Lineage: Eukaryota; Metazoa; Arthropoda; Arachnida; Araneae; Ochyroceratidae. The record is from RNAcentral.